Molecule: small nucleolar RNA, 107 nt
Organism: Gossypium raimondii (Peruvian cotton)
Lineage: Eukaryota; Viridiplantae; Streptophyta; Magnoliopsida; Malvales; Malvaceae
Rfam family: Plant small nucleolar RNA R71
About the family: R71 is a member of the C/D box family of snoRNAs containing the C (UGAUGA) and D (CUGA) box motifs. Multiple nearly identical copies of this snoRNA have been identified in Arabidopsis, and it is thought to function as a 2'-O-ribose methylation guide for 18S ribosomal RNA.
Source: Rfam
AACCCAUGCAUCAAACAUUUUCUAAGUAAUUCUUUAAAUCUUUCCUAAGCUUCGUACAACGUUUCAUCCUCUGAUUUUUGAAAAGAUGUUAUGUCAUUUCUGAGAUU